Brachypodium distachyon (stiff brome) is the source of this 136-nucleotide non-coding RNA. The record is from Rfam. Lineage: Eukaryota; Viridiplantae; Streptophyta; Magnoliopsida; Poales; Poaceae.
UACGUAAUCUCACCGUCCAACAAAGGAUGUCUCAACUUUGAUUAAAUUUGAAUGUAUCUAUACACUAAGUCAUGUCUAGAGACAUCCAAAUUUUGACAAGUUUGAGACAUCUUUUGUUGGACGAAAAGAGUACUCC